GUCCUCUUAGCUCAGUUGGUUAGAGCGCUAGACUCUUAAUCUAGUGGUCGGGGGUUCGAGCCCCCCAGGGGACU
Molecule: transfer RNA, 74 nt
Organism: Babesia sp. Xinjiang
Lineage: Eukaryota; Apicomplexa; Aconoidasida; Piroplasmida; Babesiidae
Rfam family: tRNA
About the family: Transfer RNA (tRNA) molecules are approximately 80 nucleotides in length. Their secondary structure includes four short double-helical elements and three loops (D, anti-codon, and T loops).
Source: Rfam